GGGCGAAUGGUGGAAUUGGUAGACACGUAGCGUUCAGAACGCUAUGGGAGCAAUCCCGUGGAGGUUCAAGUCCUCUUUCGCCCACCA
This 87-nucleotide transfer RNA is filed under the name Candidatus Berkelbacteria bacterium CG10_big_fil_rev_8_21_14_0_10_43_13. RNAcentral's name for it is "tRNA-Leu". It matches the Rfam family "tRNA". Rfam says of the family: Transfer RNA (tRNA) molecules are approximately 80 nucleotides in length. Their secondary structure includes four short double-helical elements and three loops (D, anti-codon, and T loops). The record is from RNAcentral. Lineage: Bacteria; Candidatus Berkelbacteria.